RNAcentral lists this transfer RNA (73 nucleotides) under Micractinium conductrix. Its description in RNAcentral is "Micractinium sp. TP-2008b tRNA". It matches the Rfam family "tRNA". From Rfam's summary of the family: Transfer RNA (tRNA) molecules are approximately 80 nucleotides in length. Lineage: Eukaryota; Viridiplantae; Chlorophyta; Trebouxiophyceae; Chlorellales; Chlorellaceae. The record is from Rfam by way of RNAcentral. RNAcentral also lists the same sequence under 3 other names.
GGGUAUUUAGCUCAGUUGGUAGAGCAAUUCGCUUACAACGAAAAGGUCAAUGGUUCGAGUCCAUUAUUACCCA